Molecule: ribosomal RNA, 1340 nt
Filed under: uncultured bacterium
Lineage: Bacteria
Description: bacterial SSU rRNA
Rfam family: Bacterial small subunit ribosomal RNA
Source: RNAcentral
UGCUUAACACAUGCAAGUCGAACGGAAAGGCCCUUCGGGGUACUCGAGUGGCGAACGGGUGAGUAACACGUGGGUGAUCUGCCCUGCACUUUGGGAUAAGCCUGGGAAACUGGGUCUAAUACCGAAUAUGACCACGCUCUUCAUGGGGUGUGGUGGAAAGCUUUUGCGGUGUGGGAUGGGCCCGCGGCCUAUCAGCUUGUUGGUGGGGUAAUGGCCUACCAAGGCGACGACGGGUAGCCGGCCUGAGAGGGUGACCGGCCACACUGGGACUGAGAUACGGCCCAGACUCCUACGGGAGGCAGCAGUGGGGAAUAUUGCACAAUGGGCGCAAGCCUGAUGCAGCGACGCCGCGUGAGGGAUGACGGCCUUCGGGUUGUAAACCCCUUUCACCAGGGACGAAGCGCAAGUGACGGUACCUGGAGAAGAAGCACCGGCCAACUACGUGCCAGCAGCCGCGGUAAUACGUAGGGUGCGAGCGUUGUCCGGAAUUACUGGGCGUAAAGAGCUCGUAGGUGGUUUGUCGCGUUGUUCGUGAAAACUCACAGCUUAACUGUGGGCGUGCGGGCGAUACGGGCAGACUAGAGUACUGCAGGGGAGACUGGAAUUCCUGGUGUAGCGGUGGAAUGCGCAGAUAUCAGGAGGAACACCGGUGGCGAAGGCGGGUCUCUGGGCAGUAACUGACGCUGAGGAGCGAAAGCGUGGGGAGCGAACAAGAUUAGAUACCCUGGUAGUCCACGCCGUAAACGGUGGGUACUAGGUGUGGGUUCCUUCCUUGGGAUCCGUGCCGUAGCUAACGCAUUAAGUACCCCGCCUGGGGAGUACGGCCGCAAGGCUAAAACUCAAAGGAAUUGACGGGGGCCCGCACAAGCGGCGGAGCAUGUGGAUUAAUUCGAUGCAACGCGAAGAACCUUACCUGGGUUUGACAUGCACAGGACGCUGGUAGAGAUAUCAGUUCCCUUGUGGCCUGUGUGCAGGUGGUGCAUGGCUGUCGUCAGCUCGCGUCGUGAGAUGUUGGGUUAAGUCCCGCAACGAGCGCAACCCCUAUCUUAUGUUGCCAGCGCGUUAUGGCGGGGACUCGUAAGAGACUGCCGGGGCCAACUCGGAGGAAGGUGGGGAUGACGUCAAGUCAUCGUGCCCCUUAUGUCCAGGGCUUCACACAUGCUACAAUGGCCGGUACAAAGGGCUGCGAAUCCGCGAGGUGGAGCGAAUCCCUUGAAAGCCGGUCUCAGUUCGGAUCGGGGUCUGCAACUCGACCCCGUGAAGUUGGAGUCGCUAGUAAUCGCAGAUCAGCAACGCUGCGGUGAAUACGUUCCCGGGCCUUGCACUCACCGCCCGUCAAG